RNAcentral lists this ribosomal RNA (1345 nucleotides) under Lactiplantibacillus plantarum. RNAcentral's name for it is "bacterial SSU rRNA". It matches the Rfam family "Bacterial small subunit ribosomal RNA", at positions 83 to 1415 of the family's 1533-position model. Lineage: Bacteria; Bacillati; Bacillota; Bacilli; Lactobacillales; Lactobacillaceae. The record is from RNAcentral.
ACAUUUGAGUGAGUGGCGAACUGGUGAGUAACACGUGGGAAACCUGCCCAGAAGCGGGGGAUAACACCUGGAAACAGAUGCUAAUACCGCAUAACAACUUGGACCGCAUGGUCCGAGUUUGAAAGAUGGCUUCGGCUAUCACUUUUGGAUGGUCCCGCGGCGUAUUAGCUAGAUGGUGGGGUAACGGCUCACCAUGGCAAUGAUACGUAGCCGACCUGAGAGGGUAAUCGGCCACAUUGGGACUGAGACACGGCCCAAACUCCUACGGGAGGCAGCAGUAGGGAAUCUUCCACAAUGGACGAAAGUCUGAUGGAGCAACGCCGCGUGAGUGAAGAAGGGUUUCGGCUCGUAAAACUCUGUUGUUAAAGAAGAACAUAUCUGAGAGUAACUGUUCAGGUAUUGACGGUAUUUAACCAGAAAGCCACGGCUAACUACGUGCCAGCAGCCGCGGUAAUACGUAGGUGGCAAGCGUUGUCCGGAUUUAUUGGGCGUAAAGCGAGCGCAGGCGGUUUUUUAAGUCUGAUGUGAAAGCCUUCGGCUCAACCGAAGAAGUGCAUCGGAAACUGGGAAACUUGAGUGCAGAAGAGGACAGUGGAACUCCAUGUGUAGCGGUGAAAUGCGUAGAUAUAUGGAAGAACACCAGUGGCGAAGGCGGCUGUCUGGUCUGUAACUGACGCUGAGGCUCGAAAGUAUGGGUAGCAAACAGGAUUAGAUACCCUGGUAGUCCAUACCGUAAACGAUGAAUGCUAAGUGUUGGAGGGUUUCCGCCCUUCAGUGCUGCAGCUAACGCAUUAAGCAUUCCGCCUGGGGAGUACGGCCGCAAGGCUGAAACUCAAAGGAAUUGACGGGGGCCCGCACAAGCGGUGGAGCAUGUGGUUUAAUUCGAAGCUACGCGAAGAACCUUACCAGGUCUUGACAUACUAUGCAAAUCUAAGAGAUUAGACGUUCCCUUCGGGGACAUGGAUACAGGUGGUGCAUGGUUGUCGUCAGCUCGUGUCGUGAGAUGUUGGGUUAAGUCCCGCAACGAGCGCAACCCUUAUUAUCAGUUGCCAGCAUUAAGUUGGGCACUCUGGUGAGACUGCCGGUGACAAACCGGAGGAAGGUGGGGAUGACGUCAAAUCAUCAUGCCCCUUAUGACCUGGGCUACACACGUGCUACAAUGGAUGGUACAACGAGUUGCGAACUCGCGAGAGUAAGCUAAUCUCUUAAAGCCAUUCUCAGUUCGGAUUGUAGGCUGCAACUCGCCUACAUGAAGUCGGAAUCGCUAGUAAUCGCGGAUCAGCAUGCCGCGGUGAAUACGUUCCCGGGCCUUGUACACACCGCCCGUCACACCAUGAGAGUUUGU